GCGACGGGUGAGUACACGUAAGCAACCUACCCUAAAGACGAGGAUAACCAUUGGAAACAGUGGCUAAGACUGGAUAGGAAGAUAAAAGGCAUCUUUUAUCUUUUAAAAGACCUAGUAAUAGGUAUGCUUUAGGAGGGGCUUGCGCCAUAUUAGUUAGUUGGUAGGGUAAUGGCCUACCAAGACGAUGAUGUGUAGCUGGACUGAGAGGUUGAACAGCCACAUUGGGACUGAGACACGGCCCAAACUCCUACGGGAGGCAGCAGUAGGGAAUUUUCGGCAAUGGAGGAAACUCUGACCGAGCAACGCCGCGUGAAUGACGAAGUACUUCGGUAUGUAAAGUUCUUUUAUCCAGGAAGAAAAGCAAAUGGCGAACCAUUUGUUUGCCGGUACUUGAUGAAUAAGCCCCGGCUAAUUAUGUGCCAGCAGCCGCGGUAAGACAUAAGGGGCAAGUGUUAUCCGGAAUUAUUGGGCGUAAAGGGUGCGUAGGCGGUCUAGUAAGUCAGUGGUGUAAUGGCAACGCUUAACGUUGUCCGGCUAUUGAAACUGCUAAACUUGAGUUAGAUAGAGGCGAGUGGAAUUCCAUGUGUAGCGGUAAAAUGCGUAAAUAUAUGGAGGAACACCAGAGGCGUAGGCGGCUCGCUGGGUCUUAACUGACGCUGAGGCACGAAAGCGUGGGGAGCAAACAGGAUUAGAUACCCUGGUAGUCCACGCCGUAAACGAUGAGUACUAAGUGUCGGGUUAAACCGGUACUGAAGUUAACACAUUAAGUACUCCGCCUGAGUAGUACGUACGCAAGUAUGAAACUUAAAGGAAUUGACGGGACUCCGCACAAGCGGUGGAUCAUGUUGUUUAAUUCGAAGAUACCCGAAAAACCUUACCAGGUCUUGACAUGUUUUUGCAAAAUGAUAGUAAUAUCGUGGAGGUUACCAGAAACACAGGUGGUGCAUGGUUGUCGUCAGCUCGUGUCGUGAGAUGUUAGGUUAAGUCCUAAAACGAGCGAAACCCUUAUCGUUAGUUGCCAGCACGUUAUGGUGGGGACUUUAACGAGACUGCCAAUGAUAAAUUGGAGGAAGGUGAGGAUCACGUCAAAUCAGCAUGCCCCUUAUGACCUGGGCUACAAACGUGAUACAAUGGCUGUUACAAAGGGUAGCUGAAACGCAAGUUCUUGGCCAAUCCCCAGAAACAGUCCCAGUCCGGAUUGAAGUCUGCAACUCGACUUCAUGAAGUUGGAAUCGCUAGUAAUCGCGAAUCAGCAUGUCGCGGUGAAUACGUUCUCGGGGUUUGUACACACCGCCCGUCAAACCACGAAAGUUGGCAAUACCCCAAAACGGUAGCCUAACUCGUUAUCGAGAG
This 1353-nucleotide ribosomal RNA is filed under the name uncultured bacterium. Its description in RNAcentral is "bacterial SSU rRNA". It matches the Rfam family "Bacterial small subunit ribosomal RNA", at positions 99 to 1448 of the family's 1533-position model. The record is from RNAcentral.